This 482-nucleotide ribosomal RNA is filed under the name uncultured bacterium. RNAcentral's name for it is "partial 16S ribosomal RNA". It matches the Rfam family "Bacterial small subunit ribosomal RNA", at positions 30 to 507 of the family's 1533-position model. The record is from RNAcentral.
AUUGAACGCUGGCGGCAUGCCUUACACAUGCAAGUCGAACGGUAACGGGCCUUCGGGUGCCGACGAGUGGCGCGCGGGUGAGUAAUACAUCGGAACGUGCCCGAUCGUGGGGGAUAACGAGGCGAAAGCUUUGCUAAUACCGCAUACGAUCUACGGAUGAAAGCAGGGGACCGCAAGGCCUUGCGCGGACGGAGCGGCCGAUGGCAGAUUAGGUAGUUGGUGGGAUAAAAGCUUACCAAGCCGACGAUCUGUAGCUGGUCUGAGAGGAUGAUCAGCCACACUGGGACUGAGACACGGCCCAGACUCCUACGGGAGGCAGCAGUGGGGAAUUUUGGACAAUGGGCGCAAGCCUGAUCCAGCCAUGCCGCGUGCAGGAUGAAGGCCUUCGGGUUGUAAACUGCUUUUGUACGGAACGAAAAGCCUUCUUUUAAUACAGGAGGGUCAUGACGGUACCGUAAGAAUAAGCACCGGCUAACUACGUG